AGAGUUUGAUCAUGGCUCAGAACGAACGCUGGCGGCGUGCGUAACACAUGCAAGUUGAAUGCGAAACUCGUCUUCGGAGGGGGAGUAGCAUGGCAGACGGGUGCGUAACACGUACCUGACCUGGCCUCGGAUGGGGGAUAGUCCUUCGAAAGGGGGGGUAAUCCCGCAUAGGCUCAUGGCGGGGGCGUCAUGAGGAAAGCUGGCCUCUGGGAGCAAGCUGGUGUCCGAGGGGGGGGGUGCGGCCUAUUAGCUAGUUGGUGUGGUAAGAGCGCACCAAGGCGAGGAUGGGUAGCUGGUCUGAGAGGAUGAUCAGCCACACUGGGACUGGGAGACGGCCCAGACUCCUACGGGAGGCAGCAGUGGGGAAUUUUGCGCAAUGGGCGCGAGCCUGACGCAGCAACGCCGUGUCCGUGAAGACGCCUUUCGGGGUGUAAAGCGGUGUCAGUAGGGACGAGGGAUCACGAGGUGAAGAGCCUGGUGGUUGGACGGUACUUGCAGAGGAAGCCCCGGCUAACUCCGUGCCAGCAGCCGCGGUAAGACGGAGGGGGCGAGCGUUGUUCGGAAUUAUUGGGCGUAAAGCGCGCGUAGGCGGUGGUUCAAGGGUCGUGUGAAAGCCCCCGGCUUAACUGGGGAAGGGCGCGACCGACUGAACGACUAGAGUGUCGGAGGGGGAGGUGGAAUGCCUGGUGGAGCGGUGAAAUGCGUAGAGAUCAGGCAGAACGCCGGUGGCGAAGGU
RNAcentral lists this ribosomal RNA (736 nucleotides) under uncultured bacterium. Its description in RNAcentral is "bacterial SSU rRNA". It matches the Rfam family "Bacterial small subunit ribosomal RNA", at positions 8 to 722 of the family's 1533-position model. The record is from RNAcentral.